This 739-nucleotide ribosomal RNA is filed under the name uncultured Streptococcus sp. Its description in RNAcentral is "bacterial SSU rRNA". It matches the Rfam family "Bacterial small subunit ribosomal RNA", at positions 28 to 776 of the family's 1533-position model. Lineage: Bacteria; Bacillati; Bacillota; Bacilli; Lactobacillales; Streptococcaceae. The record is from RNAcentral.
GACGAACGCUGGCGGCGUGCCUAAUACAUGCAAGUAGAACGCUGAAGCUUGGUGCUUGCACCGAGCGGAUGAGUUGCGAACGGGUGAGUAACGCGUAGGUAACCUGCCUGGUAGCGGGGGAUAACUAUUGGAAACGAUAGCUAAUACCGCAUAACAGCAGAUGUCGCAUGACAUUUGCUUAAAAGGUGCAAUUGCAUCACUACCAGAUGGACCUGCGUUGUAUUAGCUAGUUGGUGAGGUAACGGCUCACCAAGGCGACGAUACAUAGCCGACCUGAGAGGGUGAUCGGCCACACUGGGACUGAGACACGGUCCAAACUCCUACGGGAGGCAGCAGUGGGGAAUAUUGCACAAUGGGCGAAAGCCUGAUGCAGCAACGCCGCGUGAACGAUGAAGGUCUUCGGAUCGUAAAGUUCUGUUGCAGGGGAAGAUAAUGACGGUACCCUGUGAGGAAGCCCCGGCUAACUACGUGCCAGCAGCCGCGGUAAUACGUAGGGGGCUAGCGUUAUCCGGAUUUACUGGGCGUAAAGGGUGCGUAGGUGGUCCUUCAAGUCGGUGGUUAAAGGCUACGGCUCAACCGUAGUAAGCCGCCGAAACUGGAGGACUUGAGUGCAGGAGAGGAAAGUGGAAUUCCCAGUGUAGCGGUGAAAUGCGUAGAUAUUGGGAGGAACACCAGUAGCGAAGGCGGCUUUCUGGACUGCAACUGACACUGAGGCACGAAAGCGUGGGUAGCAAACAGG